AGUCCAGGAAAUCCUGCCACAGUUGAAGAUAAAUGGUUUUACUGAGCUUCCAGACAAAACCUUCUUAAAUCUGCACAUUAGAAGAAACAAUAAGAAUAAUGGACCAAAAAGAUGUACCUAGUGUUUCCCUUCACCUUCCCAGAUGCAAAGCAAGGUACUGAAGAAUCACAAGAGGUGGAUGUUGGCAGGGAGCUCUGGAAGCUGUCAAGUCAGUCCUCUGCUCAGAGCAGCUGCAGCCAGGGCUGGUGUCCAGGGCUCUGCCUGGUCCAGCUUUGAAUAUCCUCAAGGGUGAAUACUCCAGAAUCUCUCUGGGCAACCUGUUUCAGUGUUUCACUACAGCCCAGUGAAAAAGUGCUCUCUUUUGUUUAAGGGGGAUUUUCUGGGUUUCAGGUUUUGCCUCUAGUCCUGUCACUGCAGAGAAGAGUCUGACUCAUUCUUCUUUCCUUCUCACCACAACUAUCAGAGAGGACAUGAAUUAUCAUUCUGACACCAGAUCUGAGUAAGCAGAUGCACUCCGUGUGAUCACACGUGUUCUGUUGCAGGAGGCAGCAGCUCCAGCACUUC
Molecule: long non-coding RNA, 564 nt
Organism: Pyrgilauda ruficollis (rufous-necked snowfinch)
Lineage: Eukaryota; Metazoa; Chordata; Aves; Passeriformes; Passeridae
Exons: 3
Source: RefSeq, a predicted model, not a curated record